This 589-nucleotide ribosomal RNA is filed under the name Deronectes brannanii. RNAcentral's name for it is "partial 16S ribosomal RNA". The stretch from base 350 to 508 matches the Rfam family "Bacterial large subunit ribosomal RNA", at positions 2473 to 2632 of the family's 2925-position model. Lineage: Eukaryota; Metazoa; Arthropoda; Insecta; Coleoptera; Dytiscidae. The record is from RNAcentral.
CCACUGAUAAAUUUAAAGGCCGCAGUAAUUUGACUGUGCAAAGGUAGCAUAAUCAUUAGUUUUUUAAUUAAAAGCUUGUAUGAAUGGUUGGACGAGAUAAAAUCUGUCUCUAUUUAAUAAUUAGAAUUUAAUUUUUAAGUUAAAAAGCUUAAAUUAAUAUAAAAGACGAGAAGACCCUAUAGAUCUUAAUAUAGAAUUUUAAAAUUUUAUUUAAGAUUUUUUUAUUAAUUUUAUUAUUUUAUAUUUUAUUGGGGUAAUAAAAAGAUUAAAUUAAUUCUUUUUCAUAUUAUACAAUAAUAAUUGAUUAUUUGAUCCAUUAAUAGUGAUUAUAAGAUUAAGUUACCUUAGGGAUAACAGCGUAAUUUUUUUAGAGAGUUCAUAUCGAUAAAAAAGUUUGCGACCUCGAUGUUGGAUUAAAAAUUAUUUCGGGUGUAGAAGUUCGAAGUUUUGGUCUGUUCGACCAUUAAAUUUUUACAUGAUCUGAGUUCAGACCGGUGUAAGCCAGGUCGGUUUUUAUCUUUAUUAGAUUUAUAUAUUUUAGUACGAAAGGACCAAAUAUUUGAUAUAUUAAUAUUUAUAUUUUGAUUAA